RNAcentral lists this ribosomal RNA (923 nucleotides) under uncultured bacterium. RNAcentral describes it as "bacterial SSU rRNA". It matches the Rfam family "Bacterial small subunit ribosomal RNA", at positions 77 to 1029 of the family's 1533-position model. The record is from RNAcentral.
ACUUCGGUCCUGAGUAUAGUGGCGCACGGGUGAGUAACACGUGAAUAAUCUACCCUCGAGUGGGGAAUAACUGAGAGAAAUCUUAGCUAAUACCGCAUAACACUUACGAGUCAAAGCAGCAAUGCGCUUGGGGAGGAGUUCGCGGCAGAUUAGUUAGUUGGCGGGGUAAUGGCCCACCAAGACGAUGAUCUGUAUCCGGCCUGAGAGGGCGCACGGACACACUGGAACUGAAACACGGUCCAGACUCCUACGGGAGGCAGCAGUGGGGAACUUUGCGCAAUGGGGGAAACCCUGACGCAGCAACGCCGCGUGGAGGAUGAAGUAUCUUGGUACGUAAACUCCUUUCGAUGGGGAAGAUAAUGACGGUACCCAUAGAAGAAGCCCCGGCUAACUUCGUGCCAGCAGCCGCGGUAAUACGAGGGGGGCAAGCGUUGUUCGGAUUUAUUGGGCGUAAAGGGUGCGUAGGCGGUUUGGCAAGUCUUAUGUGAAAUCUAUGGGCUCAACCCAUAGUCUGCAUGAGAAACUACCGGGCUUGAGUAUUGGAGAGGUGAGUGGAAUUUCCGGUGUAGCGGUGAAAUGCGUAGAUAUCGGAAGGAACACCUGUGGCGAAAGCGGCUCACUGGACAAUAACUGACGCUGAUGCACGAAAGCUAGGGGAGCAAACAGGAUUAGAUACCCUGGUAGUCCUAGCCCUAAACGAUGAUUGCUUGGUGUGGCAGGUACCCAAUCCUGCCGUGCCGAAGCUAACGCGAUAAGCAAUCCGCCUGGGGAGUACGGUCGCAAGGCUGAAACUCAAAGGAAUUGACGGGGGCCCGCACAAGCGGUGGAGCAUGUGGUUUAAUUCGACGCAACGCGAAGAACCUUACCUGGGCUCGAAAUGUACAUGAAUCCCGGCAGAAACGUCGGCGUCUAGCAAUAGACAU